RNAcentral lists this ribosomal RNA (460 nucleotides) under uncultured bacterium. RNAcentral's name for it is "partial 16S ribosomal RNA". It matches the Rfam family "Bacterial small subunit ribosomal RNA", at positions 338 to 795 of the family's 1533-position model. The record is from RNAcentral.
CCUACGGGUGGCAGCAGUGAGGAAUAUUGGUCAAUGGGCGCAAGCCUGAACCAGCCAAGUCGCGUGAGGGAUGAAGGCUCUAUGGUUGGUAAACUUCUUUUAUAAGGGAAUAAAGUGGGGGACGUGUCCUAUUUUGUAUGUACCUUAUGAAUAAGGAUCGGCUAACUCCGUGCCAGCAGCCGCGGUAAUACGGAGGAUCCGAGCGUUAUCCGGAUUUAUUGGGUUUAAAGGGUGCGUAGGUGGCCUUUUAAGUCAGCGGUGAAAGUUUGUGGCUCAACCAUAGAAUUGCAGUUGAAACUGGUGGGCUUGAGUAUGUUUGAGGCAGGCGGAAUGCGUGGUGUAGCGGUGAAAUGCUUAGAUAUCACGCAGAACCCCGAUUGCGAAGGCAGCCUGCCAAACAGUGACUGACGCUGAUGCGCGAAAGCGUGGGGAUCAAACAGGAUUAGAUACCCCUGUAGUC